UGCGCCUACGGGACGCAGCAGUCGGGAAUAUUGCACAAUGGAGGAAACUCUGAUGCAGUGACGCCGCGUGCAGGAAGAAGGUUUUCGGAUUGUAAACUGCUUUAGACAGGGAAGAAACAAGACAGUACCUGUAGAAUAAGCUCCGGCUAACUACGUGCCAGCAGCCGCGGUAAUACGUAGGGAGCAAGCGUUAUCCGGAUUUAUUGGGUGUAAAGGGUGCGUAGACGGGCAAACAAGUUAGUUGUGAAAUCCCUCGGCUUAACUGAGGAACUGCAACUAAAACUAUUAGUCUUGAGUGCGGGAGG
RNAcentral lists this ribosomal RNA (305 nucleotides) under uncultured bacterium. Its description in RNAcentral is "bacterial SSU rRNA". It matches the Rfam family "Bacterial small subunit ribosomal RNA", at positions 334 to 655 of the family's 1533-position model. The record is from RNAcentral.